Triticum urartu is the source of this 185-nucleotide non-coding RNA. Lineage: Eukaryota; Viridiplantae; Streptophyta; Magnoliopsida; Poales; Poaceae. The record is from Rfam.
AAUUCUCUGAGAUGUUUGCAAGCGGGCCCGUCCCCUGAGCCGAUAAUUAAUACCAAACAGAGUGUGACGCUCUGUAACCUGUGCGCAAGCUCGGUCCGUCCGAGAAGCCUGAUGGUUACGACGGCAUACUCACCUUGAACCAUGGGUUCAAGGGUUACAGCCUGCGGCGGCAUCUCGGAGAUCCC